Molecule: non-coding RNA, 1844 nt
Organism: Anas platyrhynchos (mallard)
Lineage: Eukaryota; Metazoa; Chordata; Aves; Anseriformes; Anatidae
Source: RefSeq, a predicted model, not a curated record
CCUAUAUGUCUCCUGAAAACUGAGAGUAGCAGAAGGGAGAGAAGUGUAAGCUAUUGGCUACAGGGCUACAGCUGCACUCCAUCUCAUCAUUUAGCAGGGCUAAGUUGCUUACCUAGCUACAUCUGGGGGCUACUUAACUGGGAGUAGUGCUUUCAGCUGGCUAUUCUGGAAGGACAGGAAUUGAUGAGAAAAUGGGAGUGAACAUAUAUGGCAACAACCUGCAAGCAUUCAUUUCUAUGAGGGCACAGAGAAGAUGAAGCCAUGCCCUUUUCAGUGGUGCCUCAUUGCCAGUACAAGAGGCACUGGGUGCAAGCUGGAACAGAGAAGGUAACAUCUGAACAUCAGGAAGCACUUCUCUACCAUGUGGACAACUGAGCACUGGCACAGGUUGCCCACACAGGCUGUGGUGUCUCCUCCUUGGACACCUUCAAAACCCACCUGGACGUGACGUGCUUUGUGUGGCCCUGCUUGAUCCAGGGGGUUGGACCAGGAGGCCUACAGAAGUGCCUUCCAACUUCAGCCAUUCUCUGAAGUAGUUCCAUAAAUAUAUGGCAUGGGAAGUGACAUGGCCUGGCGGAGAAGGAAGAAGCCUGAUUUUCUGCCUUCUCUAUUCAAGGCAGUUAUUCUGGGGGUCUUGCUGUUUCUGUCCUCUCCUCUGCAGCUCGAGGCUGAGGUGCGUAGUGGUGAUAGAUAGCUUACUGUAGUAAUAUACCAGGAGCACUGUCAAGGUGAAUCCAAAUGAAAAAUAAAGUUGCCUAUUGUUAAUUACUUAUUUAUGAAACAGAGCUCUAAUGAGAUUAGAUUUCUUAAGAACCUUUAAUAUGGGUUCUUUUGUUUUCUGAGAAUUUUCUGAACUUUAGAAUACUCGGAGAAUUUAGAGACACCAGAAGAGUAAAUGAUUUCUAAAAUCCCAUACUGUUUUUUUUGAAUAGCCUCUCUUCCCUCCAUCCUUAAGCCCACAUUGGGAAAACCAGGGAAAUCAAGUCCUGUUAUGUGAACGGUUCAUUUCAACAAGCUGAUUCUUUGUAGAAAAGUGGUAGUUUAGCACUUUUUGGCAAAGCAAACCUAACUACUUAGUAUCUUUCCAUUCUCCAAAGAUCUUUGAGAUCUACUGAUUAAAAGUUCUGACAAAGGUGAUGAUAAAGUUAUUUGUCAUGGUGGCAACUGAAAAAUAACACAGGAAUUCAUGUAGAAAUUAUUGAUGUAUUGUUAUAACACUGAGACAGCUCAAGUGAAUAAGUAAUGUGGGAAUAAUUGACAGAAAGUGAUGCAAGUAAUCUAAAUCGCGUUCUAAUUUUGAAGUCUGUCAGUAGAGAUGUUUUAAGAAAUACAAUUUAUGGCCUGUGGGAAAUCCAAAUUGUUAAACUACAAAGCAUAUUAAAAUUGUAUGGAGAAUAAAAAGGCAAAAUGAUGAAUAUUUUCGCAUAACGAAAUGUUUCCAGAAAUAUGUACCUAAAAACAAAGAAACAAACUCCAUGCAUUAUAAGUGUUUUAAAUUUUUAAGUGAUUCUGCAUAUUAAUGUAAUUUUCCAUACUGUAAAUAACAGCUCUGAAUUAAGCAAGAAGUAUAUAAGAAUACUCUUAAUUUUCUUACUUAAAUUGGUUGAUUUAAAUUAAGUGGUUUUGAAUUAAGUUACUUCCUGAAAGGAUUAUUUUUUGGUUAAGACCUUAUUACUGUUCAGUUUUUAUCCUUGUAUAAACACAUACAGUAUCAGUAGUUCCUUCCGGUAAUUUCAUGAUCACUAUGUGAUAUGCGUCUAUGUAAAACUUGUGAAAGUAUUUGUCAACAAACCAAAACCUCUUCAUACAAAAUAGCAUAAAAGAUGUCAUCAGAGAUGUCUUGA